CCCAGGCACCGCCGCCGGCCGCCUCUUCACCUGUUGCGGGGGACCUGGCGGCCGAGGGGGCGCGGAGUCUCGCCCGGAGUCGCUGGGCUGCUGCGCGGAGGAGGAGGGGGCGCGGGGUGCGCGCUGCCUGCGGCCCCCUGCCGGGCCCCGGCCUCCGACAGGCCCCGCCUCCCUCGGGCGGGCAGCCACCGCUGACCUGUCUCCUCGCACCUGACCGCGGCGUAGGCUGCAGGGCCCCGCGGGGACACCGGGGCCUCCGCGAAUGCGCUCCCCGAGCGGCUGGGGGGUGGGGUGGCGACUCGUAGGCGAGAAAGAGCGGCGGGAACUCUGACCCGGCCGGACCUUAGACCCGCGAUCGACGCGAGGCCGCCAGGACCGCCCUGGAGACGGCCCGAGGUUCUCCCCCACCCGCCGCGGCCGCCACUACAGCCCGGCGUUAUUUCCUGCCCCUCCUGUCGGGAACAAUGGGCUGAACAAGACAUAUCCGAGAAUCACUGGUUGGCACCCUCAGAGUCAGGUGAAGGGAAAGGCCCUCUUCUCCCUCUCAGACUCCCCCCAUGGAGGCCCCCCAGCUGCCUGCGUGGAGAGGUGACUCCAAGAGCAGCGGAGCUGGAGGAUACACCAGGGAGAGUGAUGGGAAAACAAGCGAUUCAACUCCAGAUUCAGCAGAGAGCCCAGGUUUAAAAACCACAGCAGCAGAAAUUCAAGGCUGGUGAUUUCUCUACAAACAAGAACCAAUUUGAGAACUCAGAAGUCUUCGUUCUUGAAUUUGUGAAGUGUCUUUUCAUUUUCAUGAGUCCAAUGGUAGAGGGUGGCCGUGGAGGCAGAUUGGUUUCCCGUGUAACUUCAGCUUUCUUUUCUCUUAUGUUUCAACCACAUCUGGCUUCUAAGAAAGACCAAGCCGAGAUGUGUUUGCUAGAGGUGAAGUGGAAUAAGAAAACUUGUUGGGAAGUGUACAUUCUUCAGGUACACUGCCCCCAGGGGAAAACUCGGCCUGGGGAGGAGACAUGCUAUUCAGGACCCUUUGCGUUUGGAACCAUUUGAAUGCACACGUGGUUUGCAUACUGCUGUUCCAGCUGUGGUCUGCACAGAGGAGCCAUAAUCGGCAGAGGCACCGAUCUGAUGCCAGGUAUUUUAGAUCUGGUUAAGGCCCCUGGCAUCGUGGAGCAGAGAUAAGCCAUCCACACUGAGUCCUUUCCAAACCCCAGAUCCACAGAAUUCUGGACCAUAAUGAAAUGGUUGUUGUUCAAAGCUUGGGAUUUUGGCAGGAUGUAUCACACAGUGAUAGAGAAUUAAAGAAAAUGGUUAUAUCACAUUAAAAAUAAAGGACUGGAGAGGACAGGAGGCCAGGCAGCGCAGGCUGUAUAACCUCAGCGCGGUGUCUCGGUUGAGAAGAGCAGGAAGCAAGUCUGAGCCUCACCAGUCCUGUUCCUUCCCUCGGGGGUUACUCAUCGCAUGAGGGCUGCAUUCCAAGGACCAGCAUCAGAGACAGAGCUCGGAGAACGCUGUAUUGCCUCCUACGAGCUGGCCUGAGACAUCAGGCACGAAGUCCUGACCUUAAGGCAUGCUGUCUUGGAGGACUUGCUCGUGAAGACUGUCCUUCCCUCCUCCUCCAGGUGACCAGGGAUGCAGCCGGAGCCUGAUAGAUGUGCUUCCUGCUUGCAACCCCGAGAGAGGACUUGUAUUACUUUAUAGACUCAAUUCAGACAAUACAACUGCAGGCUUGGGUGGAUGUUGGCCAGAUUUAUGUUGGAAGAAACAAACCCAGCAGGCUUUGCAAUAAAUAAGAUUCAUUUCAUUCUGGAAGUUUCUGCUUGGAGAAGGAGUGAAGUUUCAAGCUAUACGGUCCGUGAUGGCUGCAAACUAUGCACAUGUGUUUCUCAGGAUGACUUCUAUGGUUAACACUUUAGCCUUUGAAAGCCAGCUUUGGCCCUAAGAACCAAGAAGCCACUUGAGACCAUUGGAAUAAAGUCUAGAUUUGGGGACCAGAUAUUCAAAACCUCCCGUAAUCUGGCUGCAGCCGAACAUCACAACCUCCAUUCCCCUCACAAUUUACACUUUACUGAGUAGAAUUUAAACUAAUGUUUUAAAUACUUUUUGAUACUUUUUUCUCCUUUAGUAGUUUUCUACAUGGUAGAUUAUAGACCAUUUUUGUUUUCUUCUUCAUACUUUUGGAUGUUUGAGGAAACCUAAUAAACAUUAUUUGGGAGGAAAUGCCAUUCUUUCCUCAGUAACAGAAUCUUCUCAAACCUGUUGAACGCUGCUGAAACUCGUCUGUGCGAAAAACAUACCACCAUGCAAGGCCGUCCAUCUUCCAUCACAGACAGGUGGCACCGUGAGAAGCUUCUCACAUUAGACCCGGACCUGCCUCUCUUACCCAGCUCUGGGCUCCCGACCAAGAGGCACGGUUCUACUCCUUCCCAUGACUUCCCUCUGGGUAUUUUCAGAUCACAGUGAAGUUCACCUUGCACACUCAGCCCAAGCCUUCUGACACCCAGUCCAUCAUAUCCAGGAUCCACCCUCCUGCUUGUCCUCUUUAAGGUGGAUGUUAUUCUUAAGCGUUUCCUCUGACGGGAAUGCCUGCACUCCAUUCAGUAUUUCUUCAUUCUUCCAUCAGCUAGGCAUGGAGCGCCCACUGCGGGCCAGGCCCUGGGACCCGGGGGAGGGCUGACGGACCAGAGCCCUGCCUCCCAGGGCUCACCGUGUCCCAAAGAAACAGGGACAAGCAGAGCACCAGGGGCUGCUACUAUGUCUCUGGAUUGUCACCUCUUUUUCCCACUGUACAUCCUAAAACGGUGUUAUCUUACCUGGUUCUGCAGCAGACCUUUUUCAGGCCACCUGGAGCGAUGCUGUGCUCCUGCUGUUCUGUACUGAGGCAGGUUCCUCUCUUUUGUACUUAACAAGCACGGCGACAGUUCCCACUUUGUGUUGCUGGUCUCACACAGCUCGGCCUCUGACCUGUCAACAGCAUCUAAAUCUCGAUCCCGUCAUCUUUUUCAUUGUUGUGUUCCCAGUUUAGGGACAUCGGUAAAGGGGGUAAGCAUGACUUUCAUGGUUUGUGUUUUUUUUUUUUUUAAUUUCCUUAUUUUUUUGUUGAAUUUAUUGGGGUGAAGCUGGUUAACAAAAACCAUCUAGAUUUCAGGGGUGCAAUUCUGUAAUACAUCAUUUGUAUAUUGUAUUUUGUGUUCGCCACCCCAAGUUAGGUUUUUGUUUUUAAAUUAAUGGUUUAUUUGGUGAGAUGUGGACAAAGCGAUACACAGUACCCUAUGAAAUGCCACAUUGAUUCAAAGACCCUUGAUAAAAUAGUUGAACAAAGAAAUGGGUACUUUUCUCUGACUUUUAAAAAAGUCCCCUUUUCUUAAGUCUCUUCAUUUGCUAUUUUCCAAAUCAGUUGAUCACUUUUUUCUGAAGAGUUCUGGCAUCUCAGUGUCAGUGGACUGGUUGAGCACCCCGGACAUAAUUAAUGACAUGAAUGUGUUACAAAGAACUAUAAUAACGUAUGUACAACAACCGAAAUAACUGUUGUGUGGAGGAUUGCCCAAAUUAUCACGCCUCCACUAAUUCCUGCCUCACCCCUUUAGAAAGAAAAAUUGGGUCAUUUGAACGUGAAGGCCCAUUUACCUUCAUUGUAAGUGUUGAAAAGAAUAACUUUUAAAAAAAUGCCUAUGAUCAACAAAGCCAUCUGCUAAACCAUUCCCGGGUCAUUGCGAAGCCCUGGACUGCUCAGGAAAAUUCUAUUUUUGUGUUCAUUGUUGAAAGCAUCAGUAUCAACAGGAAAGCCAACCCUACUGAGAGAGAUGAGAUAGUCCCAGACAAUGGGCUGUCCACCGCUGUCACAAAGUUCUGGUUGAGUUUGCAGGGGGCUGCGGGUCUCCUCCCAGGGCUGGGACAGUUUCCGGUGCUUCCAGGGGCUUCACCCAGUGGACAUCAGAGGCGGAGCCAGGGGCCUGGGCGAUCUGUCAGCCUCUGCCUCACAGGGGGAGCUAACAUUCAGUGCGCAGGACAGGGUUUCUGCUCCUGCUCAGGCAGGCCGUGCCCUGGGGCUGGGCCCUGGAGAGGGAGCUCACGUUAUUUUUCAGCCAUUCUAAACCCAAGGACAUUGUACUGUGAUAACAGUACUCUUGUCUGAUCCGUAGGCUUUAUUCAGAUUUCACUAGAUGCUUCACUAAAUUUUUUUUUUCCUUGCCCAGGGUCUAAUCCCAUACUAUGUGUUGCAUUUAGUGUUCAUUUUAAAGACUCCUUUAGUCAAGAAUAGUCCCUUUUUCUUUCUUGUCUUUCAUCACCUGGACAUUUUCUCAACGUAUGGGCCAGUCAUUUUGUAGGGUGUUCCUCAGUCCGGGUCUGUCUGAUGUUUGGUAGUGAUUAGGUUCAGUGUGUGUGUUUUGGGCAAGAAUACCACAGAGAUACUGCCGUGUCCUUGUCCGUGCACUGUAUCAGGAGGCGCGUGAUGUUUAUUUGUCCCACUGGUGCUGAUGUGAACCUUGGUCACCGGGUUCAGUGUCUGCCAGAUCUCUCCACUCCAAAGUUUCUCUUUUUCCCUUUGUAAUUAUAAUGAUCUGUCAGAGAAAUACUUUGAAACUAUACACAUCUCAAAAGGGUGUUUUGAGAGUAGAAGUGGGUAAUGCAAGUAAACUAGGAUUAUUCUGGGAAAACCAGGACAUAAAACAAGUCUUUCACUUUUGUUUUGAAAGACUUUCUGACUCCCUGGUAUGAUGGCCAGGCUGUUCCAGCUACAGCUCAUGGGUCACCUUUGUGGAGAGACCUUUUCUGAGUCUCCCAUGACUCUGCCAGCAUGCCACUGUGGGAAGAUGGCCACCAAAGACUUGUAACACGCGAAGUGCCCCUUGGAGUCCUUGCCUCUCUCCACCUCAGACCGAGAGGCAACCUUUCAGCUUUGCCUCCUAGGACCUUACUUGUGGCCGGCACAGGAGCGGCACCACCUACAUGUGUGAAUUCACACUGGUCUGCUCUGAACCUUGCAGCUUUUGGAAGGAGGGCUGAUGAACUUUGCCAAGUUGUCCUAAAGGAUCUGUUGUAAUGAGAUUUUAUAAGAGAGAGUGUUGGGUAACUGGGAAAGUGCCAGAGGACUCCAGAUGUUGCUGUUUGGAGCUCAGAAAGGCCCAGAGACCUGCCAGCACACCGAGUCUCCUCUGACCCACAGCAGGGGUCACCCAAACUCACAUCUGAAAUCAACUUAUCUGCCCUGGUUGGUGUAGCUCAGUGGAUUGAGCAUGGGCCUGCAAACCAAACGAUCACAGUUCAAUUCCCAGUCAGGGCACAUGCCUGGGUUGCAGGCCAGUUCCCAGCAGGGGAUGCAUGAGAAGCGUCCUUCCCUCCCCCUCUAAAGAUAAAUAAAUAAAAUCUUAAAAAAUAAAAUAAAAUCAACUUGUCUACUUUGUGUUUCUGAGGGUCCUUCCUGUGACCAUCCCAUUUGUCUCAGUGGCCUCAGGGCCUAGCACAGUUCCAUCCAGAGGCACUGAAGAAGUCCUUUGAAGAAAAUGCCUACAGAAGUGUGAAUCCAGCCGCUUCCCUGUUCUUCAUGUUUGAUUCUUUCGAAAGGGAUCCAGGGACUCCGUCUGGUACAGUGUUGUGUGAUCACUCAAAACUGCUCACGAAGACAUCUAUAGCGAGUGAAGAGAUCAAAAGGACACUGCCCACAUGCUGAUGGCUUCGCUGGUAGAUUCUACCAAACAUCUGGAGAACAAUGAAUAACGAGUCUUCACAAACUUUUCCAAAAUACAGAUGAGGAGAGAACACACCCCAAUUCAUUGUGUGAUGCCAGUAUCACCCUCAUAUCAAUACCAAACAGAGACAUCACAAGAAAACUACAGGCCAACAUCUCUAAAACCUAGACUUUAAAAUCAUCAACUAAAUACUAGUGUGCACAGUUUAGCAGUGCAUAAAAACAAUUACACACCACGACCAAAUGGGAUUUACCCCGGGAAUGCGAGGUUGGCAACCUAUGAAAAUCAAUCAGGGCCAUGUAUACCAGGGGACAAUCAGGGCCAGAUAUGACCAGGGCCAUAUUAGGAGGACAAAGGGGAGAAGCCCUAUGGUUAUCUCAACAGACUCAGAAAAGGCAUUUUGCAAAAUCCAGCACCCUGUCAUGAUGGGAACACACAAGAAACUAGGACCAGAAGGGGACCUCCUAAACCCGAUCAAGACAGAACAAACCCUCAGCUAAUGUCACACUUUUGGGAUGACAGAGGUUUUCUUCCCAAGAUCAGGAACAAGAUCAGAACAUCUGUUCUUGCUACUUCUCUUCCACUGCCAGCUAAUGGACAAGCCAACGAGGCCAGAAAAUGAAACACAAGGCAUCAGAUUGAAAAGAAUGAUGUAAACUGGAGGGUGGGGCCAAAGUAGGUUGACAGUGGUUUGUAGGAAAAAGAAUACCAUUAAUCACUACUAAUUCAAGAAUAAGCUCUCUGUUUUGUGUACUUAAACUGUAAAUAUACUUUUUCCCCACCCCAGAUGGAGUUACAAGUGAAAUACACAAUCUCUUCUACACACAAAAAGCCUUGCUGCGUGGAAGCAAAAUUCAUGUCUUGCAUGCAUUAAGUUCAUGGUUAGGGGACAGUGAACACUUUGAACCCUCUCUAGUUCCAGCCGACCCCCUCCCCAGAUUAUAAACUCCUGAGCAUUGCCUAAGUUGCUGACUAUUGAAUGCAAACAACUUUAUUACCAACUUCUGCAACGCUGCUGUCUGCAGACUAGCCAUGGCCUUUGCAGAAAUGAUAACCCUCUAAGAAAAUUGCUGGUUCUCGUAACAAAUGUACCAAUCAUGAGUUCAGUCACCUUGGUGAUUUCUCAGUGUUGGGCUUAAAUGACCUGUUGUAUGUUUUAUUUGAUUAGUGGGUCCUUUUGAGUAUCGUAUUUCUUGCAAGCCAACUACUUUCUGUUUCUGAACGCUGUCAUCUCUGAGUUUUCGAUGUACUGGUACUUGGUGAAAUGUAAAUUAAAAU
Molecule: long non-coding RNA, 6962 nt
Organism: Artibeus jamaicensis (Jamaican fruit-eating bat)
Lineage: Eukaryota; Metazoa; Chordata; Mammalia; Chiroptera; Phyllostomidae
Exons: 9
Source: RefSeq, a predicted model, not a curated record